This 133-nucleotide unclassified non-coding RNA is filed under the name uncultured fungus. RNAcentral describes it as "sequence contains ITS1, 5.8S rRNA gene". Lineage: Eukaryota; Fungi. The record is from RNAcentral. RNAcentral also lists the same sequence under 1 other name.
GCAAGCUGGUUUUUCCAGACGCUUUUUUGUUUUGUCUUUGGUGUUCGUUGGGAGUUUCACGUGACCUUGACGCGUGACUUUGACGACACCGAUUUGACGAUUGGACGAUUGACGAUUCUUGAUCCAAGAAAAA